This 253-nucleotide ribosomal RNA is filed under the name uncultured bacterium. Its description in RNAcentral is "partial 16S ribosomal RNA". It matches the Rfam family "Bacterial small subunit ribosomal RNA", at positions 524 to 776 of the family's 1533-position model. The record is from RNAcentral.
UACAGAGGGGGCAAGCGUUGUUCGGAAUUACUGGGCGUAAAGGGCGCGUAGGCGGCCUUCUAAGUCGAACGUGAAAUCCCCGGGCUCAACCCGGGAACUGCGUCCGAUACUGGAAGGCUUGAAUCCGGGAGAGGGAUGCGGAAUUCCAGGUGUAGCGGUGAAAUGCGCAGAUAUCGGGAAGAACACCCGUGGCGAAGGCGGUUCUCUGGGACGGUACUGACGCUGAGACGCGAAAGCGUGGGGAGCGAACAGG